UAGGGAAUAUUGCGCAAUGGAGGAAACUCUGACGCAGCGACGCCGCGUGAAGGAUGAAGUAUUUCGGUAUGUAAACUUCGAAAGAAUAGGAAGAAUAAAUGACGGUACUAUUUAUAAGGUCCGGCUAACUACGUGCCAGCAGCCGCGGUAAUACGUAGGGACCAAGCGUUGUUCGGAUUUACUGGGCGUAAAGGGCGCGUAGGCGGCAUGACAAGUCACUUGUGAAAUCUCUGGGCUUAACCCAGAACGGCCAAGUGAUACUGUCGCGCUAGAGUGCAGAAGGGGCAAUCGGAAUUCUUGGUGUAGCGGUGAAAUGCGUAGAUAUCAAGAGGAACACCUGAGGUGAAGACGGGUUGCUGGGCUGACACUGACGCUGAGGCGCGAAAGCCAGGGGAACAAACGGGAUUAGAUACCCGCGUAGUCCCUGAGCGGGCUGGCAAGGCGCAU
RNAcentral lists this ribosomal RNA (447 nucleotides) under uncultured bacterium. RNAcentral describes it as "bacterial SSU rRNA". It matches the Rfam family "Bacterial small subunit ribosomal RNA", at positions 355 to 825 of the family's 1533-position model. The record is from RNAcentral.